Molecule: RNA transcript, 1542 nt
Organism: Egretta garzetta (little egret)
Lineage: Eukaryota; Metazoa; Chordata; Aves; Pelecaniformes; Ardeidae
Gene: ASCC1
Gene name: activating signal cointegrator 1 complex subunit 1
Exons: 10
Source: RefSeq, a predicted model, not a curated record
AUGGACGUUCUGCGGCCCACCCUGAUAAGGAUCGGGGAGCGAGUAUACAGGAAAAAUCUCAUUCGAGAGCAGGCCUGCCAGCUCGAGGAGGAGGAGGAUGAUUUCUGUGCAGGCCCCAGUGACUGUGCAGACGAACCCUGUGAUGCCUUUGUGGUGGAAGAGACCGAGAAAGGCUUCCAGUGCAGAGUGGAGGUUCCCAGCCCCUUAUACAAGUACAUCAUUGGGAAGAAAGGGGAAACAAAGAAGAGACUAGAAACAGAGACUCGAACCUCCAUCAGCAUUCCCAAGCCUGGAGUCGAAGGAGAAAUUGUGAUUACAGGGCAGCAUCGCAGCGGUGUCAUCUCUGCCCGAACGCGGAUCGAUGUUCUCCUGGACAGCUUCCGUAAGAAGCAGCCCUUCACACACUUCCUGUCCUUCGCUCUCAACCAGCCUGCCGUCCAGGAGAAGUUCCUGCAGUUCAAGGAGGAAGUGUUGGAGAAAUGCUCGCAGGAUCACGGGGUGAGCAGCAGCCUGUUCCAGAACCCUGCAAAGCUUCACCUGACUCUUGGGACGCUGGUACUUCUGAACGAGCAAGAGAUCCAGAAAGCAUGUGACCUCCUACGGCGAUGCAAAGAGGACUUUGUGGACCAAAUUGCUGGAGGCAAGCCCCUGACCGUGGAGGUGGCAGGAGUGGAGUACAUGAACGAUGACCCCGCCAUGACGGAUGUCCUUUAUGCCAAAGUCCACAUGAAGGAUGGCUCGGACAGAUUGCAGCUGAUUGCUGAUCAACUGGUGGAAAGGUUCGUGGCCUCCGGCCUGAUGCUUAAAGAAUGGGAUAGGGUGAAACUGCAUGCUACAGUCAUGAACACUCUCUUCAGGAAAGAUCCAAGCGCUGAAGAGCGAAACAAUGCAAUGACUGGUAAAUCAUCUUUCAAGGAACGGGAGUCGUUUAAUGGCCGAAAUAUCCUCAAGCUCUUCGAGAACUUCUACUUCGGAGAGGUGCAGCUGGACUCGGUGCGUCUUUCCCAGAGGUUCUCCUCGGACGCCUCUGGCUACUACGCGACAUCUGGGCAGCUGACCUUCUCCUGAAGCAGCACCGCAGCUGCCGCAGCGGCUCCGCUCGUCGGUGAAAUGUGUUUUUAUAGAAUGUGAAUUUUGGACAGGAACCCGGGAGCUCCAGGCAGGGAUGCCUCAUGACUCCUCGAAAGCACAUUGCAGCUGGGAACCGUGGCAUUUCCCACAGCUUUUCCUACGCGUAUUGCCUGCCCUUCCUUCGGGGGGAACCAGAGUCCUUGGGCCUCCUUUCCCUAUUGCCGAACGCCUUUGUGCUCUCCGAGCGGAGGAGGAAGGGCCGCCUUCGAAACCGUUCACUCGGCGAGCAGAGCACCGGCGCGCUCGCUGGCAGCCCGGUGCGGGGAGGUGCGGAGAGCACUUAGCACCAGUUGCUGUCAUCUUUCCACCAGCCUGAAGAGGUACUUGCCGAAUCUCAUCAGCCGCCCGAAGGACAGACCUGGGAGCUGCAAGCACAGCCGCCAGCCGCGCCGCCGGCCGCAGGAAUCACAG